UAUGUACAUACCAGAAGGAAUAGCUGCAC
RNAcentral lists this non-coding RNA (29 nucleotides) under Mus musculus (house mouse). The record is from RNAcentral. Lineage: Eukaryota; Metazoa; Chordata; Mammalia; Rodentia; Muridae.